UUCCUUGAAUCUUCAAACAAAGAAUCCAUUCCGACCAAGGAGUAGACUCACCCCUCGACUUAUCAUGAACUACAAGCCAACUUGCAACACUUGUCAAUCCAAGUGUGAAAUGAUCAAGUGUGUGAGAGUGUGGUGAGGUUGUUUCGAAUUAACUUGUGUUUUAAUUUGUAGACUUGUUCUUUUCUUUUCUUUUUUAGGUGCAAUUACGAUGGAACCCACAGCUGCAAGUGCUAUUUUGGCUAAACUUGAAGCCAUUACCCGUCAAUGGGAAGUGAUAAAUGAAACGUUUGAUCAUAUGGGAGUUCCAACAGAGAAAGUGGGCUACCUGGACACACGUCAAGAUGAAGACCGUAGCUCAUGUGAGCUACGAGGAGUUGUUCGUUCAAUUUGCAGAACAAUUGGAAGAGCAUAAAUUUUCGGAAAAAUGAAAUCUCUGUUUCACAGUUAGGAGUUGUUCAAUCUUGUCUUCGUUGUCUUAAAUCCAUCAAUUCUUGGAAUCGCAGGGAAGAGCAUGAACUGUCAGAAACUAUGCAAUCAAAAACUGAAUCGAUAUGGAACAUAAGGCUCCAAUGGAACCCAAAGGAUUUUGACAAGGCUCAACAAUUAUUUGGGAAGUAGAAAGUUUUGAAGGUGUCUCUGCUCAAGUUGUAGAAGCUUUAACUGGUAUUUUAUUCUCAUGUUGGAUUGGACAUCAGGGACUAUGGAUGUGAUAGCUUGUAUUGUUGGCUUUUAGUUUUUGAUUAGGCUUGCACGACUUUAAAAUAUGUCACAAAGGUUGAAGGAUUGCUUUUUUAUAUACUAACAAUCAACGUCUCUCAUGUUGACAUUUGUCUAGAAUGUGACAAUGACUUUCUUGUCAUUUUGAAUAUGUCUAAGCCAACAAAAAUCAAACGAUGGCAUGAUUAUUAUUGGAGUUCGGAGUCAACAAGGCUAAUUUGUUGACCAAAAAUUUCAAAGGAGACACUUGAUUUGUGAAGAAACCAAAGGGGAUAAAAAUUGUUGGCUGAGCGAUUUACAAGUCGCUUGGCAUCCAACGAUUUGCAAGUCAGGCAGUGUCCAGCGAUUUGCAAGUCGCCUGGUGUCCAAUGAUUUCCAAAUCGUCGUCGGAACCAAGUGAUUUGGAAAUCACCAGACACCAAGCGACUUGCAAAUCGCUGAACAUCAAGCGACUUGCAAAUUCCUCAACCACCAACUUUUUGUCUCCUUUAAUUUCUUUUCAAAUCAGGUGUAAAAAAAUUGGAUGUCCA
Long non-coding RNA from Capsicum annuum, 1247 nucleotides. RefSeq lists it as uncharacterized. The record is from RefSeq and is a predicted model, not a curated record. The transcript is spliced from 4 exons. Lineage: Eukaryota; Viridiplantae; Streptophyta; Magnoliopsida; Solanales; Solanaceae.